GAUGUGUGAGAGUACUGGAACCCGUUGGCACUAAUUGGUCUCUUAUAGGUCUCUAUCACUUUACCUGAACAUUAAGGUGAAGACACAGCAAAAAGAUGGCCGUCUAUGAACCAGGAAGCGGGCUCUCACCAGACACUGAAUUUCCAGUGCUUUGAUCUUGGACUUCCCAGCCUCCACAACUGACCCCAUGCCCCUCUUUUCCUGAGACCAACAGGAGAACAUGCCCAGUGGCACAAAACUCGACAUGCUGCAGAGGGAAAAUCUCUAUAUUUCACCAGACAAUCCCAACAAUCUAAGAAGGACUGGAGAGACAACUUUUUUUUACUGGUGCCCUUGAGUUUGCAACAUGCAUUUACAACAAAUUCACAUCUGCUUUCAAAUAACACCAUACUACUUCACAGCUUCCCUAACUGUGGAAAAAAAUAAAUGAUCUCAAUAUGAUGAAACAUAAUGUAUAAACCUGCAACCUGCAAUUGUUCCGGCUACCAUUCAAGUACAAAUAAUCGCUUGGCUGGAAUUUGGAAGAGAGGUCAAGGUGGCCUACCUCAAAUUUGCUUUAAAUUGAGAACAGAAUUAAAAGAU
RNAcentral lists this long non-coding RNA (582 nucleotides) under Equus caballus (horse). RNAcentral describes it as "lncRNA (ENSECAG00000042869.2)". Lineage: Eukaryota; Metazoa; Chordata; Mammalia; Perissodactyla; Equidae. The record is from RNAcentral.